RNAcentral lists this ribosomal RNA (497 nucleotides) under uncultured bacterium. RNAcentral describes it as "partial 16S ribosomal RNA". It matches the Rfam family "Bacterial small subunit ribosomal RNA", at positions 28 to 507 of the family's 1533-position model. The record is from RNAcentral.
GAUGAACGCUGGCGGCGUGCCUAAUACAUGCAAGUCGAGCGAACAGAUGAGGAGCUUGCUCCUCUGACGUUAGCGGCGGACGGGUGAGUAACACGUGGAUAACCUACCUAUAAGACUGGGAUAACUUCGGGAAACCGGAGCUAAUACCGGAUAAUAUAUUGAACCGCAUGGUUCAAUAGUGAAAGACGGUUUUGCUGUCACUUAUAGAUGGAUCCGCGCCGCAUUAGCUAGUUGGUAAGGUAACGGCUUACCAAGGCGACGAUGCGUAGCCGACCUGAGAGGGUGAUCGGCCACACUGGAACUGAGACACGGUCCAGACUCCUACGGGAGGCAGCAGUAGGGAAUCUUCCGCAAUGGGCGAAAGCCUGACGGAGCAACGCCGCGUGAGUGAUGAGGGUCUUCGGAUCGUAAAACUCUGUUAUUAGGGAAGAACAAAUGUGUAAGUAACUAUGCACGUCUUGACGGUACCUAAUCAGAAAGCCACGGCUAACUACGUG